RNAcentral lists this ribosomal RNA (255 nucleotides) under Triticum aestivum (bread wheat). RNAcentral describes it as "partial small subunit ribosomal RNA". Lineage: Eukaryota; Viridiplantae; Streptophyta; Magnoliopsida; Poales; Poaceae. The record is from RNAcentral.
AUGACCACGACACUUUAGAAUGUUUCCAUGAUCCUUGCACUUCCUAUCGAGGGGAAGCCUUUGUGUAUGAGAACCGAUUAUGAGGGGUGGCGCCAGCAGAUGGAGGCCCUUAUUGGUAUGGCUCCUGCAAAGGCACCAUCCGAUGGAGACAAGAAAGAAAGAGUCGUUGUCGGCGCUCCUUACACAUGGAUCGUAGCAAACUUUGUGCAUUGCCCUAAGGAUGCUAAUAAUGUUAUCUGGGACUCUCUUUGCUGA